AGACAGUACGCACCCAAACAUGAACAGCGUUUUCAGUUUGUCGAUGUGAGGUGGGUUGCAACUAACGUGCUGUGUCGGUCUAUGAUGCUGCACAUGCGCUGAACGGACGCCGCGGAAAACAUUGAGGGGUUACCAAAGACAUGGCGGCCAACAUCGAGCAAAUUUUUCGCGAUUUCGUAGUAAAUAAGAUAAAAGAAAUUGAAGAUGAGAGUCAAGAUAUCAUUCUGACAGAUGAAGGCCAUCCCAAUGGUAAAACUGCAGAAGGAGCAGAUGGGAUCAACAACACACAAGAUAAAGAUGGUGUAGCCAAUAAGGAAGAGGGUGCUGUCCCACAAAAGAAACAUAAGAAGCACAAGAAACACAAGAAACACAAAAGCAAAAAGAAGAAACGUAAGGAAGAGAAAGAGAGCGGCUCAGAAUCAGCAGCAGACUCUGAUGGAGACAAGGCAAAGACUGGGGAAGAGGAUGACGGGAGAUCCAAGCGGCAUAAACGACAUUCUGGGAAGAAGAAGAAAAAAAAGCAGAAGAAAGAUGGUGACAAGUCCAACAGCUCAUCUGGGUCGGAGUCUGAGUCGAAGCCUCAGCCUGGGAACAAGGAGAGCAAACCUCAGGAUCUGCCUGAUAUCAUCCCAAAACUAGAGGAGAAGUGUCCGGAAAAGUCCUCCUCCAGAUGCUCACGGUCUCGUUCAGGCAAGCGCAGGUCCAGAUCCAGGGACAAGAGAGGGAGAUCCAGAUCGAGGUCCGGUAGAAGACAUGGCGGACACACACGUUCCAGAUCACGGCACCGGAGGUCCGGGUCACAUUCUAGAAGGUCUGGGUCUGCCAGGAGAGGCAGGAGAACCCGGUCAAGGUCCCUCGUGAUCUUGAAGAAAGACAGACGGUCUAGAUCGAGAUCCAGAAGGCGAUCAAAAUCUAAGACGAGAUCUCAGUCGAGACACCGAGAGAUGAUUUCAGGAUCUCCCUCUCAGUCCAGAAACGACAAAUCAAAAUCCAGGUCUGCCUCAAGAGACAGCCAAUCAGCCGAGAAGGAUCCCUCUGCGGCCCUGGCUAAAGAUGAGUCCGCUGUGAAAGAUGAAAACGUAAUGGUUCCAAUCGAUCCGCCAGCCCUAGCUUCCGAAAGCAGCAUUGAGGGUGUCGUCAAUAUGGCCACCCCCACUGGAGGAGGGUGGAAGCCGAUACCCUUCUUAGGGGACAACAGUAAGGGAGAGCCAGCCGUUUCCUCCCAGCCCUCUGAAUGUCUGAUGUCUCCACAGAAGUGCCCUAUUCCUCCCGAGGUGCCUUCAGGUGAGCAGCAUGAGGCCUCCACUGACCACCAGUCAACGUCAGCAUCUGAUCUGAACCUCAACAGCCAGCCAACUGAUGAGCCAGGGGAAUCGGAUGGACUUGUUACUUCAGACACCUUGGAUGGCUCUGUAGAUUCCUUACCCCCCAAAACGGAUGCUGAUGGAGGGGACAAGGUGACACCUCAGGGUGAAGAGCUGCCUGCCUCACCUCAACCUAAACCACAGCCAACAUCUGGAGAGGCAGAGACAACAGAGAAGGAAGGAGAAUCUUCAAAGUCCAGGUCUCCUUCAAAGAGGAAAAAGUCAAGGUCAAAGUCUCCUGAUCAGAAGAAACGCUCUGAUGCAAAGUCCUCCAAGAAGAGGAGGUCCAGAUCCAAGUCUCCAGGGAGGAAAAGGAAAUCAAGAUCCUCGUCGCCAAGCCGCAAGAGGAAGUCCAGGACUCCGUCUCGGAGGAAGAAGUCUCGCUCAAAGUCCGGGACGAGAAAGAAGAAAUCACGGUCCAAAUCCAGAACACGGAACAAGCGCUCAAAGUCUAGGUCGCCGAAAAGGAAACGGUCCAAGUCACGGUCUCCUGCUCGGAGGUCAAAGAGAUCGAGGUCACGCUCUGGUUCGCGGCGGAGGGGUAGGGGUGCAUUCGGCAGCCACCAGCUGAGCCAGAGGGACCGCUGGAAGCGUGAGCCAAGCCACUCCCCAGUCCUUAUCCUCCGCAAGAAGAGGUCUCCGGGACGCAACAACCGCGACACCAGCAAAAGCCCGCCACGACUCACAGAGCUGGAUAAAGACCAGUUACUGGAGAUUGCUAAGGCUAAUGCAGCCGCCAUGUGUGCCAAGGCCGGGAUACCCAUCCCAGAGAGCCUGCGACCCAAAGCUGUCCUCCAGCUGCCUUUACCCAGCCCCAACAACCCCAUGUCCUUCUCCAUGCCCAUGAAUAUGAACAUGCCCAUGAACAUGUCUAUGAACAUGCCUAUGAGCAUGACCAUGAAUGCAGCUAUGGCUAGCAUGACAGCUGCCACAAUGACUGCUGCCCUGGCCAGUAUGGGAUCUAUGGCCUCCAUGCACCAGAUGGCCCCGCUCCCCAGCAUCACCAACAAGCCCCCGCCAGGUCCCCCCCAGCCCAACAUGGCCACCAUCGAGGAUGUGAAGAGGAAGGUGGCCAAGCAGGCAAACAGCAUCAGCAUCAAGGAGUUCACUGACAAGUGUAAGAAGAUUGUGGAGAAGGGAGGGGAGCUGGCCCUCGCUGAACCCCGUAUAUCUGACGACGAGGACGACGGCAAACCGUUUGGACGAGCCGCCCUGAGGGAGGUCAAGGGCAUCUCCUUCAGCCUCAAUAACGCAUCCGUGCGUCCAUCGCCGGCGUUGGCGGUUCGGAGCGAGGCGGCGUUCGCCAAGGAGUUCCCCGUGUCGUCGGGCUCCCAGCACAGGAAGAAGGAGGGCGACGGGGGAGGGGCUUACGGAGAGUGGGUGACCGUCGACAAGAAGGUGGAAAAGGCCAAGGUGGCGGCGACCAAGGCAUUGGCAACGGCUGCCAAGGAAACUUCGCCUGGGGAUGCGCCUUUGUCUGUGGUUUCCAUGGCAACAGAGGAGCCGGCGGUCGUCAAGGAGAGUGAUAGUGUGUUCCCGGAGCCGCCGCUACAGCCUGUAGACAUCACCCAGGCAGUUGGUGAGAGGAUGAAGGCCCAGAAGCGUCUGGCCGAGAACCCACACGACGUCAGUGCCAUCUGCAUGCUCAGCCGUGCUCAGGAACAGGUGGAUGCAUGGGCCCAGUCCAACACCAUCCCUGGUCUGUUUACAGGUUCUACUGGAGCAACGGUGCUCAGCUCAGAGGAGCUGUCCAACAGCGGACCACAGGCCUGGAUUAAAAAGGUACCGUCCACUGUCUUACCUGCUCCCCACCCCAAACAUACCACCCCACUACCCUACAGGUGUCUGCAUCGCCCAUGCCCACUGGUGUACCCACUUCACACGCCUUCCUCAGCCUGCUCCCUAAUCACCACCCAGCCCUAGUCAAAUAACUGAAUGGCUGUACGCAUAGUGCCAGAGACAUAUACUGUAUAAAGUUUAACAAAUGUUCUGUUGAUGUAGAACAAACUGGGUUAGAAUGGAGUAGUUCCACUGUUACUCAGUGGAAUCCAGGUCAGUUUUAAGGGCCCCGAAACGUGGGGUUCACUGCUACUAUGGCCACCCUUGUCAGUGCUAACGCACAUAGUUUACUGGUGUGUGUGUGAGUGAGCAUCUGUCUGUAUUGUGUGUUUCUGUCUGCGUCAGAAAAAGAUGCUCUGGCGGUAAAGGAAGCCUCUUGUUUAUGUUGCCUGAUAUUUGCACUGCAGUUUGUAACAGUGGUAACAUGAUGAACCCAGACUUUAAUCUUUAAUCUGACAUACAGACAUGAACAAAAAUCUCCCUGCACUUCAAUCACCCCCCACAACACACACACACACACACAUUCUGACUAAUUACAUUUCCUGUGAAGUGGGUACACCAUGUUAAGGGUAGCAAUGCAGAUUCCUUACAUGUGACAUUCUUACCAAAGCAGGUGCAAAUGCAGUACUGACACCCGUCUACUAGUGGUGCGCUGGUCUGACACCCGUCUACUAGUGGUGCGCUGGUCUGACACCCGUCUACUAGUGGUGCGCUGGUCUGACACCCGGCUACUAGUGGUGCUCUGGUCUGACACCCGGCUACUAGUGGUGCUCUGGUCUGACACCCGGCUACUAGUGGUGCUCUGGUCUGACACCCGGCUACUAGUGGUGCUCUGGUCUGACACCCGGCUACUAGUGGUGCUCUGGUCUGACACCCGGCUACUAGUGGUGCUCUGGUCUGACACCCGGCUACUAGUGGUGCUCUGGUCUGACACCCGGCUACUAGUGGUGCUCUGGUCUGUGCACUAAAUAGAGUCCCCCUCGGAGUUGGAAUAGGGACUUGGAGAAUGAAAGAGGGAGGGAGGGGAGGAAGAGGAGAGCUGGAAGUAAGUCUGCAGACCCAAGAACCCCCCCCCCCUUGUCCUCUAGCACCCCAGGGCAAGGAAGAGAUCAUGGGUCCGUCUCAGUAGUCUAAAGAUGCUUCCUCGUCUCUUUCCUUGGAUUCACACUGAUGUCAGAACAGGGGAAAGGGAAAAGCACUAUUCUUUCACCUAUCCUGCCUUUUCAGAUCAGGUCAGAUGUUAUUGGGGAUGGUAGGUGAGGAAGUGACUUUAGACUAUUCAGAUGCACCCCAAGACCGGUUACUAUAGUCUCUACCGUCACGCUGUCUCCCUAAUGCGGUGUCUCCCUAUCACUCCCCCACACCCAGUCACACAGAAUGUCAUCAGGCCCGGAGAUAACCAUAGUCCUCUGUCUGUGGACCCCGUCUGAACCCUCCUACCCUGUAGUGUUUCUAUAGUGGGCUGUUUGAAGCCAGUGGGUGUAACUACCCCAAGCCUCCCUGAACUCUGCAAACACACAGAGACAGGGGGCUACUGUUUUAAACGACACAUCCUGAGGAAUCUCUCUCUCGGGAUAGGUUACACAUUGUCACAUCAUUUAGCUAUAGAGAGAGUGAUGGAUCUGCUGAGUUCAUUCUUCAUUUAAUAUGACACAUCCUUCACAUGCAGAUGCCAUGGACAUAUGCUGUGGACAUGUUCAGAGACAUGAUAUAGGGAUGAGAGUGCAUUGAUCAUACUAAUGUUGGUGACAUGCAUUUUGCUAGCAUUACAGCAGCUAACAUUGAUUUACAGCACGCUAGCAUUACAGCAGCUAACAUUGAUUUACAGCACGCUAGCAUUACAGCAGCUAACAUUGAUUUACAGCACGCUAGCAUUACAGCAGCUAACAUUGAUUUACAGCACGCUAGCAUUACAGCAGCUAACAUUGAUUUACAGCACACUAGCAUGACAGCAGCUAACAUUGAUUUACAGCACACUAGCAUUACAGCAGCUAACAUUGAUUUACAGCACACUAGCAUGACAGCAGCUGACAUUGAUUUACAGCACACUAGCAUUACAGCAGCUGACAUUGAUUUACAGCACACUAGCAUUACAGCAGCUAACAUUGAUUUACAGCACACUAGCAUUACAGCAGCUAACAUUGAUUUACAGCACACUAGCAUUACAGCAGCUAACAUUGAUUUACAGCACACUAGCAUUACAGCAGCUAACAUUGAUUUACAGCACACUAGCAUUACAGCAGCUGACAUUGAUUUACAGCACACUAGCAUGACAGCAGCUAACAUUGAUUUACAGCACGCUAGCAUUACAGCAGCUGGACUGUAAUGUUUGUGUGGUUGUUGGGUGCCCCUAGAAACCAGUCCUGGUGCAUUCUGUUUCCCAGUAGAUGAGCAGGGUCUAGUUUUAGACCAGUCAGUGGUCUCCAACCCUAGUCUAGGCUGAGAGUAUAGAGUCGUAGUGUCGUAUAGGUUAGGGCUAUAACAAAAACCUGCACACUAGCUCCAGGAUCUCAAUUGGAGACCACUGCCUGAGGGAGAACUCUGUUCUGAGGGACCUAGGCUAGUUACAGGUGUCCAUGGACAUGCCUGUGCUCUUUCCCUUGCCCUGGGGGAGGCUGCGGUCAGAAGUUGCUCCUAGUCACCAAUCUAGGAUCAGCGUCCCUUCCGCAAAUCCUAACUCCAAGCUGACCUAGGUGUCUAGGGGCAACUUCCUCCCAGUCCUUGGGGCAGCUUGAGGAAGGGGGUCGAUAAGAGGGGUCUGGAUUGGAGCAGAGGGAGAGAGGUGUGGGUUCACAGGGGUGACCUGUGAACUUUCACCUCUCUGUGUAUUGGACACUUGUUUCAGGGUCAGUCCUUGUAGCUGUCCUUGUUGCCAUGGCCACAGUCAGGCCCCCCUCUCAUUUCCUGUUUGAUGCUGGGCCGGUGAUGAGGGGCUAGGACCAGUUCUUGCGAGCAGCCCCGGUGUCGGGAGGAGUAGGGGAGUUUCUCAUGAGAAAGAUGGGAUGGCGGACAGGGGAGGGGCUAGGGCGACACCGCGAGGGCACCGUCGAGCCAAUCAUCAUCGACUUCAAGACCGACCGCAAAG
Non-coding RNA from Oncorhynchus mykiss (rainbow trout), 6288 nucleotides. NCBI's taxonomy places the organism in Eukaryota, Metazoa, Chordata, Actinopteri, Salmoniformes, Salmonidae. The record is from RefSeq and is a predicted model, not a curated record.